AAGUCGUAACAAGGUUUCCGUAGGUGAACCUGCGGAAGGAUCAUUAACACGUAUCCAACGUUAAAAACACCCCUGUAGGCCCACACGGCCGGCAAUCCAAGUGGUGUACUUCGGUACCCCUACAUCGGCACACGAUGAUAUGUCGAUUUCGCGAAUGGACUAAAAGCCUCGCACCAAAAACCGAACAACUGUUAACAAUGGAUAUUUUGGUUCUC
RNAcentral lists this unclassified non-coding RNA (215 nucleotides) under fungal sp. Its description in RNAcentral is "partial internal transcribed spacer region". The stretch from base 1 to 46 matches the Rfam family "Eukaryotic small subunit ribosomal RNA", at positions 1786 to 1831 of the family's 1831-position model. The record is from RNAcentral. Lineage: Eukaryota; Fungi.